RNAcentral lists this ribosomal RNA (301 nucleotides) under uncultured bacterium. RNAcentral describes it as "partial 16S ribosomal RNA". It matches the Rfam family "Bacterial small subunit ribosomal RNA", at positions 509 to 808 of the family's 1533-position model. The record is from RNAcentral.
CAGCCGCCGCGGUAAUACGUAGGUCCCGAGCGUUGUCCGGAUUUAUUGGGCGUAAAGCGAGCGCAGGCGGUUAGAUAAGUCUGAAGUUAAAGGCUGUGGCUUAACCAUAGUACGCUUUGGAAACUGUUUAACUUGAGUGCAAGAGGGGAGAGUGGAAUUCCAUGUGUAGCGGUGAAAUGCGUAGAUAUAUGGAGGAACACCGGUGGCGAAAGCGGCUCUCUGGCUUGUAACUGACGCUGAGGCUCGAAAGCGUGGGGCGCAAACAGGAUUAGAUACCCCAGUAGUCCCUGUCUCUUAUACC